GGGUUGUGAGGUUAAGCGACUAAGCGUACACGGUGGAUGCCCUGGCAGUCAGAGGCGAUGAAGGGCGUGCUAAUCUGCG
Molecule: ribosomal RNA, 79 nt
Filed under: Pantoea ananatis
Lineage: Bacteria; Pseudomonadati; Pseudomonadota; Gammaproteobacteria; Enterobacterales; Erwiniaceae
Also listed under: 2 other names
Description: partial 23S ribosomal RNA
Source: RNAcentral